Molecule: ribosomal RNA, 433 nt
Filed under: uncultured bacterium
Lineage: Bacteria
Description: bacterial SSU rRNA
Rfam family: Bacterial small subunit ribosomal RNA
Source: RNAcentral
AACGAACGCUGGCGGCAUGCCUAACACAUGCAAGUCGAACGAGACCUUCGGGUCUAGUGGCGCACGGGUGCGUAACGCGUGGGAAUCUGCCCCUCGGUUCGGAAUAACACAGAGAAAUUUGUGCUAAUACCGGAUAAUGACGAAAGUCCAAAGAUUUAUCGCCGAGGGAUGAGCCCGCGUAGGAUUAGCUAGUUGGUGGGGUAAAAGCCUACCAAGGCGACGAUCCUUAGCUGGUCUGAGAGGAUGAUCAGCCACACUGGGACUGAGACACGGCCCAGACUCCUACGGGAGGCAGCAGUGGGGAAUAUUGGACAAUGGGCGAAAGCCUGAUCCAGCAAUGCCGCGUGAGUGAUGAAGGCCCUAGGGUUGUAAAGCUCUUUUACCAGGGAUGAUAAUGACAGUACCUGGAGAAUAAGCUCCGGCUAACUCCGUG